RNAcentral lists this ribosomal RNA (1554 nucleotides) under Triticum aestivum (bread wheat). Its description in RNAcentral is "partial small subunit ribosomal RNA". Lineage: Eukaryota; Viridiplantae; Streptophyta; Magnoliopsida; Poales; Poaceae. The record is from RNAcentral.
AUGGCCCACAACGAUGAGGCCGGGGGUUCGGGCGGCAAGGCAUUCUGGGAGCUGUCCCAGGAGAUGGAGGAACAACCUCACUUGUAUGAGGCCGCCGCCUUCCCCACCGAUCCUGAGACCACGGAUGGUGCCGCCGAGGAUGACCACACUGAUGCCACCACUGAUGGUGCCGCCGAGGAUGCCACCACUGAUGAUGGCGGCGCACGCACAGAUAGCAGCCAGCCGAAGAGGCAACGGAAGGACCGGCGCCCGAUCGUGCUCCGCACCCUCAAGGAGGAAGUUACUGAAGUGGACUCCAAUGGGAAUCCAACGGCGCCCGAACGAAUAGUCAAGGGGUACUCGCUUCAGCUCGGGUGCAUUGUCCGGAGCACCGUCUCGAUCAACACCGAGAACCUGAGGCAUCCUGACCGGGGGAAUUUGCGCCACCUCCUCUUCACGAAGCUGCACGAACGAUACAAGUUCCCCGCUGAAUUCGAAAACACAAGCCUCAAAGGGAAUAAAGUGAACAAUGCUGCCCUCACGAAGAUGAGCAAGGCCCUGUCUACUUGGAAAAGCAAUGUGAAGAGAAUGAUCGAGAAAGGUGAGAGUUAUGAGAAGAUCAAGGAGAAAAAUCCUUCGAUCACCAAAGAUGACUACAACGACUUCAAGAUCAAUUGCUUGAGCACCGCAAGCUCCCAAUCAAGUGAGUGGGGGAAACAAAUGCGGGAGCUGAACAUAGGGGAACACACACUCGGUCCCGGCGGUUACAGAGUGGCAGAGCCUAUAUGGGACAAGGAGGAGGCGGACCGUGCCGAGCAAGGCCUACCGCCCCUCUUCGAUAAAUACGGUGACAAGCAGACCAGGAACUUUGUCAGGGCCCGGUACAAGAAGGACCCGAAAACAAAGGAGCUUACCACGGAUCCGAAGACCAGGCAGCUUGAGCUUGUUCUGGCGACUGAAAGCAGUAGCGCGGGGUCGACUCAGAGAAACCCUUGGGACACCACUCUAAAUAGGGGGUUGAAUAUAAUGAAGAACAAGGAUAAGCUCAGUAAGCCGACGUCAGCUGGUCGUGUGGCCGGCAAAGGCUUGUCGACAACAUGGGGGUCAUACUAUACCGCUGGUGAGCGGAAGGAGAAAAAGACCAGCUCGGAAAGCCAGGCGCGAGAGGUUCAAGAACUCAAGGCACAGGUGGCGCGGAUUCCGGAGAUUGUCCAAGAUCAAGUGGAACAACGACUCGGAGCGACGAUCACCGCCCUUGUGCCUACCUUGAUCUCGGGGUUGAGUGCGUGGAUUGCGGGCGGCCAACAGGGGCCGCCCCUGAUUCCUAGCUUCACGGCCAGCAACUCGCAUAAUGCGAUGGCGGGGCCAUUGGUGCCUCCGGCGGAGGCGGCAUUGGUGUCUCCGACGCCGGCACGGGAGCUUAAUGCACCCGGGUGUACGCCGGCCGGCACCUCUUCAGCAAGCGGCCGCUCCGUCAACUGCACGCCCGCCGUUGGCGGUGCCUCGACAUUAGCCGAGCUCGACUCCAUCAUCACGGCGCCGCCGACGUUCCGUGCACUCUCCUCCACUUCGUGA